AUUGCCUACGGGAGGCAGCAGUGAGGGAUAUUGGUCAAUGGGGGAAACCCUGAACCAGCAACGCCGCGUGAGGGAAGACGGUUGUCGGAUUGUAAACCUCUGUCCUCUGUGAAGAUAAUGACGGUAGCAGAGGAGGAAGCUCCGGCUAACUACGUGCCAGCAGCCGCGGUAAUACGUAGGGAGCGAGCGUUGUCCGGAUUUACUGGGUGUAAAGGGAGCGUAGGCGGCCAUGCACGUCAGAAGUGAAAACCCAGGGCUCAACCCUGGGAGUGCUUUUGAAACUGUGCGGCUAGAGGGUCGGAGGG
Molecule: ribosomal RNA, 305 nt
Filed under: uncultured bacterium
Lineage: Bacteria
Description: bacterial SSU rRNA
Rfam family: Bacterial small subunit ribosomal RNA
Source: RNAcentral